Non-coding RNA from Ornithobacterium rhinotracheale DSM 15997, 327 nucleotides. It matches the Rfam family "Bacterial RNase P class A". Rfam says of the family: Ribonuclease P (RNase P) is a ubiquitous endoribonuclease, found in archaea, bacteria and eukarya as well as chloroplasts and mitochondria. Its best characterised activity is the generation of mature 5'-ends of tRNAs by cleaving the 5'-leader elements of precursor-tRNAs. Cellular RNase Ps are ribonucleoproteins. Lineage: Bacteria; Pseudomonadati; Bacteroidota; Flavobacteriia; Flavobacteriales; Weeksellaceae. The record is from Rfam.
UAAGUGAGCCGCCUUGUCGCGUGCCUGAGCGAGGGUACGAGGAAAGUCCGGACACCAUAGGGCGACGCAGCGGGUAACACCCGCCACUUGUUUUUCUUCGGAAGGGCAAGGAGGACUAGUGCAGCAGAAAGAAUGUACAGUACGGCUGUAGUGAAAUCAGGUAAACUCUGCGUGGUGCAAUGCUAUGUAUAUUGGCUGAUAAGGGCGGCUCGUCCGAUGCCAAGGGGUAAGCAGCUAGAGUUUAGCAGUAAUGCUAAAUGUAGAUAAAUGGCAAGGCGUUUCUCGUGAGAGAAAUGACAGAAUCCGGCUUAUAGGCUCACUUUCUUU